GGAACAGUACCCAAGUGGUUAUAAGGGGGCUGCCUUGAAAGCAGCUAGGCGUGUAAAAGCGUGCGUGGGUUCGAAUCCCACCUGUUCCUCCA
RNAcentral lists this transfer RNA (92 nucleotides) under Caudoviricetes sp. RNAcentral's name for it is "tRNA-Ser". It matches the Rfam family "tRNA". From Rfam's summary of the family: Transfer RNA (tRNA) molecules are approximately 80 nucleotides in length. Their secondary structure includes four short double-helical elements and three loops (D, anti-codon, and T loops). Lineage: Duplodnaviria; Heunggongvirae; Uroviricota; Caudoviricetes. The record is from RNAcentral.